GAUGAACGCUGGCGGCGUGCCUAAUACAUGCAAGUCGAGCGAACAGACGAGGAGCUUGCUCCUCUGACGUUAGCGGCGGACGGGUGAGUAACACGUGGAUAACCUACCUAUAAGACUGGGAUAACUUCGGGAAACCGGAGCUAAUACCGGAUAAUAUAUUGAACCGCAUGGUUCAAUAGUGAAAGAUGGUUUUGCUGUCACUUAUAGAUGGAUCCGCGCCGCAUUAGCUAGUUGGUAAGGUAACGGCUUACCAAGGCAACGAUGCGUAGCCGACCUGAGAGGAUGAUCGGGCACACGGGAACGGAGACACGGUCCAGACAAAUACGGGAGGCAGGAGGGGGGAAGCGUCGGGAAUGGGAGAAAGCCUGACGGAGCAACACCGCGUGAGUGAUGAAGGUAUUCGGUUCGUAAAACUCUGUUAUUGGGAAAGAACAAAUGAGGAAGAAACUCUGGACGUCGUGACGGUACCUAAUCAAGAAGCCAAGGCUAACUACGGG
This 497-nucleotide ribosomal RNA is filed under the name uncultured bacterium. Its description in RNAcentral is "partial 16S ribosomal RNA". It matches the Rfam family "Bacterial small subunit ribosomal RNA", at positions 28 to 507 of the family's 1533-position model. The record is from RNAcentral.